RNAcentral lists this ribosomal RNA (435 nucleotides) under soil bacterium 10V-05. Its description in RNAcentral is "bacterial SSU rRNA". It matches the Rfam family "Bacterial small subunit ribosomal RNA", at positions 24 to 473 of the family's 1533-position model. The record is from RNAcentral.
UCAGGAUGAACGCUGGCGGCGUGCUUAACACAUGCAAGUCGAACGAUGAUCCCAGCUUGCUGGGGGAUUAGUGGCGAACGGGUGAGUAACACGUGAGUAACCUGCCCUUAACUCUGGGAUAAGCCUGGGAAACUGGGUCUAAUACCGGAUAUGACUCCUCAUCGCAUGGUGGGGGGUGGAAAGCUUUUUGUGGUUUUGGAUGGACUCGCGGCCUAUCAGCUUGUUGGUGAGGUAAUGGCUCACCAAGGCGACGACGGGUAGCCGGCCUGAGAGGGUGACCGGCCACACUGGGACUGAGACACGGCCCAGACUCCUACGGGAGGCAGCAGUGGGGAAUAUUGCACAAUGGGCGAAAGCCUGAUGCAGCGACGCCGCGUGAGGGAUGACGGCCUUCGGGUUGUAAACCUCUUUCAGUAGGGAAGAAGCGAAAGUGAC